GAUGAAGAACGCAGCGAAAUGCGAUAAGUAAUGUGAAUUGCAGAAUUCAGUGAAUCAUCGAAUCUUUGAACGCACCUUGCGCCCUUUGGCUAUUCUGAAGGGCAUGCCUGUUUGAGUAUCAUGAACACCUCAACUCUCAUGGUUUGCCAUGAUGAGCUUGGACUUUGGGGGUCUUGCUGGCCUACGGUCAGCUCCUCUCAAAUGAAUCAGCUUGCCAGUGUUUGGUAGAGUCGCAGGUGUGAUAACUAUCUACGCUUGUGGUUUUCUGCCAGAUAACCUUCAGUGAUGGAGGUUCGCUGGAGCUUAUAAAUGUCUCUCCCCAGUGAGGACAGCUUUUUGAACGUUUGAUCUCAAAUCAGGUAGGACUACCCGCUGAACUUAAGCAUAUCAAUAAGCGGAGGA
This 402-nucleotide unclassified non-coding RNA is filed under the name soil metagenome. Its description in RNAcentral is "partial contains 5.8S ribosomal RNA, internal transcribed spacer 2, and large subunit ribosomal RNA". The stretch from base 1 to 121 matches the Rfam family "5.8S ribosomal RNA", at positions 35 to 154 of the family's 154-position model. The record is from RNAcentral.